RNAcentral lists this ribosomal RNA (465 nucleotides) under uncultured bacterium. RNAcentral describes it as "partial 16S ribosomal RNA". It matches the Rfam family "Bacterial small subunit ribosomal RNA", at positions 339 to 795 of the family's 1533-position model. The record is from RNAcentral.
CUACGGGUGGCUGCAGUGGGGAAUAUUGCGCAAUGGGCGAAAGCCUGACGCAGCAACGCCGUGUGAGGGAUGAAGGCUUUCGGGUCGUAAACCUCUGUCAGAAGGGAAGAACGGGUAUUGGUCUAAUAGGCCUUUAUUUUGACGGUACCUUCAGAGGAAGCACCGGCUAACUCCGUGCCAGCAGCCGCGGUAAUACGGAGGGUGCAAGCGUUAUUCGGAAUUACUGGGCGUAAAGCGCACGUAGGCCGCUUUGUAAGUCAGGGGUGAAAUCCCACGGCUCAACCGUGGAACUGCCUUUGAAACUGCAGAGCUUAAAUCCUGGAGAGGGUGGCGGAAUUCCUGGUGUAGGAGUGAAAUCCGUAGAUAUCAGGAGGAACACCGGUGGCGAAGGCGGCCACCUGGACAGGUAUUGACGCUGAGGUGCGAAAGUGUGGGGAGCAAACAGGAUUAGAUACCCCGGUAGUC